ACGGCUCAGUAACACGUGGAUAACCUACCCUUAGGACCGGGAUAACCCUGGGAAACUGGGGAUAAUACCGGAUAUAUGGAGAUACCUGGAAUGGUUCUCCACUUAAAGCUCCGGCGCCUAAGGAUGGAUCUGCGGCAGAUUAGGUCGUUGGUGGGGUAAUGGCCCACCAAGCCUGUAAUCUGUACGGGUUGUGAGAGCAAGAGCCCGGAGAUGGAACCUGAGACAAGGUUCCAGGCCCUACGGGGCACAGCAGGCGCGAAACCUCCGCAAUGCGAGCAAUCGCGACGGGGGGACCCCAAGUGCCACUCUUAACGGGGUGGCUUUUCAUAAGUGUAAAAAGCUUUUGGAAUAAGAGCUGGGCAAGACCGGUGCCAGCCGCCGCGGUAACACUGGCAGCUCAAGUGGUGGCCGUUUUUAUUGGGCCUAAAGCGUUCGUAGCCGGUUUGAUAAGUCUCUGGUGAAAUCCUACAGCUUAACUGUGGGAAUUGCUGGAGAUACUAUCAGACUUGAGGUCGGGAGAGGUUAGAGGAACUCCCAGGGUAGGGGUGAAAUCCUAUAAUCCUGGGAGGACCACCUGUGGCGAAGGCGUCUAACUGGAACGAACCUGACGGUGAGUAACGAAAGCCAGGGGCGCGAACCGGAUUAGAUACCCGGGUAGUCCUGGCCGUAAACGAUACUCGCUAGGUGUCGGCCACGGUGCGACCGUUGUCGGUGCCGUAGGGAAGCCGUGAAGCGAGCCACCUGGGAAGUACGGCCGCAAGGCUGAAACUUAAAGGAAUUGGCGGGGGAG
This 790-nucleotide ribosomal RNA is filed under the name uncultured archaeon. Its description in RNAcentral is "bacterial SSU rRNA". It matches the Rfam family "Archaeal small subunit ribosomal RNA", at positions 85 to 876 of the family's 1478-position model. The record is from RNAcentral.